GUUCUCUGGAAUCCUUCCAAAUUCGCUCGGGAACUCAAAGCGGCAGCAGGGCUGAGAUUCGCCAUGGAGCUUAUUAUGGAAAUCCAUGCAAGCUCUGUCGAAGCCCUUUGGGGGCACGUCGUCUUUCCAUGCAUUGUACUCGGUAAAGGUGGGCAAAACAGUGCUGCUGUGGCCAUUGACGAAUACGAAAGAUCCCUUGCUUAGUACAGCCCAUCCUCCUUCCUUGUCGUAGCUGAGCAGUUUCUUGAUUUCCCGCAGCAUAGGGUCGACAUCGACAGUACUCCCCAGCUGGAUCUUGGAGAACAUCAUGCUUUCCAGUCGGAUCCAGAAGAACCAGACCAUGGCAAGAUCUGGCCAGCAGUAGCUGAGUUUCUCCAAAGUGAUGGCAGUUGUGCAUUUCCGGACUUGCUCUCUUUUCUUGCUGUUUCCCACGUACACCAUCUCUAAGGGGAUUCGAGCAGUCGAUGCAACUGCCCGUGCGGUGGUUGUGAAUUUUCGGAUCCAUUCCAUGUCAGUUCCUCCAUACAAGUAAAUGUAUUUUCCUUCUUUGAUCUGAUCAAGAAAAAAGAAAAAUAUCCCCAAAUAAGUGAAGUCAUUCAUACACAUGUAAAGCUGGGUUUAGAUUAGUAAAGGUGCAUUACCCAGUUCAGUAUGGUUGGGUCAAUACCAUCCACCAGCAGCUCAAGCUUCCAACUCUCUUCCCUCCACAGAGCUUCCUCUCUCAAACUGGUGAACGGGAAGGCGGUACUCCCCCAUAUCCACAUCAUGUGGAUUGCAUUAGGGCUCACCACUUUUCCUUGUGGAUCUAGCACCACAAGGAUGGGCUUGUUCCGGAAGUGCCACACCUCCUUGAUGAACCUGAUGACUGCCCUAUCAAUCUGUGUAGGAGUGUAGACUGAAUACCAUGGCAUUGUGGCCUGCAGAGUCUCAAACCGAUUUUGCAUGGCAUCUGUCCACACGACUGAGCGGUCCACAACUGGGAUCCACACAACUUCGUACUGAUACUCCAUCCUAUUCCCGUGGACUCGAGACUCAUUAUAGAUCUGUUCCAGAACUGAAAGCUCGUCUUGGGAGAUUGAUAGACCUGAUAAAAGCAGCAAAACAUUCUUCCUCCUCAGCACAUCUAUGUUAACCUGCGGCAUUAAAGUUAGUACUUUAGGUUAGUAGUCACGAAGGGGAAAAAGAAAAUGCACAUUGGAACUUUUAAGUCGUGGUAAUAAUUUUUUUUAUAUAUGAUAGUUUCAUGGAAUAGUGCUACUGCCAAUGCAGUAAUGCAGUGAUGUGUUUGGAGAGUGAACCCUUCUCUUUGUAGAGCCUUCAAGCAGUGGCAGCACAUCGUCCUUGGGAGAAAUCAGUGCCCUGAGAAUCUUCAUGUUGUCAAUAUGAAGACUCUCAAAGAGAUUCAGAAGAGUUUGAAAAGCUUCAGCACUCCUCUUAUCAUCUGCAUCAAACAGCAAUCUCUUGUCAGAUUUAAAAUCCAUUUAAUUGUUAUUUACAUUAGCUGUGCAACACUUGCUUCCAUAAAUUUGGAAAGGGUUGGUGGUCUUACCUAUGUAUUGGUGACAAAGAGUAAGUUGCUUCUUCAGAAGGUCCAGUAUGCUAUUGAUCUUGUGAGCCAAGGUGGACAGUUCCCAUGCCUCAUUUGUAGCAGAUAUCCAGUACCUAAAAUCAUUGCAAUUGUCUUAAGUAAAAUGAUUGUUGCCUAACCAGCAUUCCCAACGGAUCAAGUGGCAUAUCAUAUAAUUCUUUCACAAAAUCAGAGGCAUUUAUUUUUUAUCUUUGGAAAAUUAGCAAAUGGAAAAGAUAUUUAGUUGGCAGUACGUUGCUUUACUAAAGGUUGAAAGAUUGAAGCAUGAUAUAUCCGAAAAGAGAAUAUAACAUACUCAUGGCCCAUGCUAGUGAGGGUUGUAAUCUGAGUUGCGCAAGCCACAACACUCCUGAUGGUCCAGUAAACAGCAGUGGGGAUAUGGGUCAAUGCUGUUGCUAAUGCUGAUACAUCCUGGCUAAUGUACAUGGGGGGGAGCUCCUUGAACUCAAUAAUGCACCUGGUAAUUGCCACCAUAGCCUUGAUGAGAUUGUUAAGAGCAUCAAACCGUGGUUUCAGCAGACCAGAGUACUCCAAGACGAUGGGCACUUGCUUAAGGAUUGCCAUUGAUUUCGCAAGUUGGUUGGAUGAGGAGAUCUGAGCAAGGAGCCAGAAUUCACCAUAGGUCACAGCAAAAGCUGAUAGGGUUAGCACCAGCUUUGCUUCCCAUGAAUAGCUUGUUAACAGGUCGAAUAUAGAGAGUGUUGUUGCAUGAGCGUCACCUCCGCCCAAACUCUUGUAUGCUAUCUGAAUACAUAAUUGAUUGACCACAUGUCAAUGUAAACAAACAAAUAAAACGUAGUCAUGCCAUGUGUAUAAUGCAUACGAGAUACGAGUUUUCUGUAUGCCAUUCUAAGAAAUGAAUUUUUGCAGUAGUUCUUUGUAAUAACCUGGCAGGCAAUUCGAUCAAUGGUAAAUGACAGUGCUUCGAGCAAAGCAAUGAAACUGGCUUGAUGAGUCCUAUCAUCAGAAGUUUCAAUGCGUGUUUGGGCAUCCUGCAAUGAAAUCACAAGUGGAUUAGCUACUAUAAAUGCAUAGAAAAUUUGUAUCUGCAUACCCUUUCGUCCAAGUAUCCUUCAGUAAUUAGGACUGUCAAUUGCAUGCUCUCACCUAACACAAGAAAAUAAAAUGUGGAGGUUCUGAUGUUCUUGAACUAAAUGAUUCCACCCCAUAAAAGCAGCUCAAGGAUUUGGAAAAAGAAGAGUGUUAUUGUGAAGGAGUUGAAAUUUUGAAAUAGAUUUUAUCUUCACAACAUAUAAUAGGAAAAAAGUAGACUUCCGGCAGUAAAAAGUUUGUUAUUCUGAAAAUAUUUUAGAUGUAGAUAAGUGACUAUAUGGCGUCAAACUUUCUAGUGUUGAUUUUGUGGAGAUAACAUGGGAGUUGGCUAGUUAGUGUGAUAUUGUGCUGGCUAGGAAUCCUUGGUUGGUAUAUGCAUUUACUUUUGUUUUGGCUAUCGAAAAAAAUGAACAAGGUCAAGAUAUUAAAAGCAGCCUGAACAAAAGAAACUGGCAAAAACAUUAGGCCUUUACUAAAUAAGAGGUUAUAGUAGUGUUAUACCGAAAUUAAGGGAUCAACACCCGGUGUAGCCCGAUUCAGGAUGUCUUCCACGAGUUGGAAAAGAGGCUUAACAUCAAACUCUCGGCCAUCAGGAGCAUGGGUUGCGUGAAUUUGUUUCAUCAUGAUGUUGUCAUCAGACAUGGUUAUCAUGCUCCUAUCAUGCCUGGUCAGUUGAUGUAAGGGAACUGGGUUGAUCUUGGUGGUUACUUCGUGCUGCAUUGGAGUUGGGUUGAUCACCUGCCGCGAACCUGGGUUCGCUUGCUGCAUUGAUGAUGGUUUCAUCAGUUGCUGCGUUGGAGUCGGGUCGAUCACUUGCGGCAUUGGAUUUGGGUUACUGAGUUUGUUGGUAGUCUCCAUUUUGUGUAUGCAAAGGAAGGCAAGUAACUAAGAUUUGAGGCAGAACGGAAGAGGAGAAGAUGGCUUGUGUUCCUUUUGCAGACUGCUUGCCCUUUAUAUACCCUUCACAAACGAAUAAAGCGAGCCUCACUGAAUCAACUUCUUUACUUCCUCCAUAAUUAAAAUUCAAAAACUUUGGACCAAGAUUUGCUUUCGUGACGCAUCUUCUUGUUUCUCGAUUUUAUUCUUUUGGGUGGUCCCGAAAGCAGCAGUUACUUCUGAAUCAAGAGAGAGCUCUGGGUCCCGCGAAUUUGGCACCAGAGAAUUUUCUUAUUCCUUGUAGAAUUCUUCAUCAAAACAUACAAACUGCGAACGCAACAACAAAAAUUCAAAACCUUGACGGUCUCAUUCUAUGGUGCUUUGAUAGAUCCACUUUAUACGGGGGCUUAUAGGAGUAUAGAAAUAAUAUUAUUUAUCUAUAUAAUUAAAAUUUUAUAUUAUGUUUGUAUAGAUGAAAAUUUAUUAAUUUGGUUUUUAUUUUCUCUUUUAAAAUUAUAGUUUUCAAUCAAUAAGAGAUUAAUAAUUUGUGUUUAUAAGAGUUGCUACACAAGUAAGAAAAUAAAAACUUAUGUAGAUUUAAUUUAUUUAUUUAUAAGUUAUCUUUAUUGUAGAAUAAUUUUUUUUUUUCAAAGGGAGAAGUAUGAAAUUCCAACAUGCAUGAGAAAAGAUGUUGGCGUGAUUUAAACUAUUAAGAAUUAAAGAUUUUAUUUUCUCUAUUUUUCUUAUGACUAUAUAUAUGUAUAAGCAAAAUCCAAAAAAGAAAUAUUAAAAAAAGUUAUUGAUAAAAGGGAUUAAUAGAUGAACAAUGUGAUUUUUUUCUAUAGUUUUUUUCUCUUCUUAUUUUUUAUUUUUUUUAUUUUUUUAUCUUGUUACAUUUAAAAAAAUAAUAUGAGAAAAUUUUAUAGUAGUUUCCCAAGUGUUGAGUUAGGUAAAUUAGUUCUUUUGUAAAUGUCAUUAGCCUAUGCUAAUUGAUUAAUCAUGAUAUUGCCUUUGCGAAACAAUUGCAUUUUUCCUACUUUAUGUUGUGAGUGUUAUUAUCCUUUGCCAAAUGACUUUUUUUUUUUGGCUUGAUGGCUCUUACAUUUUGGAACUCUUGAUGCAUGAAUUUCAUUCAUUCAUUUUGGUCAUCAUUGCUAAAAAUUUCAUCUUUCUUAGUUGAGUUCAUGACACCUAUUGUGAAUGUUAGUAUCUUUUAGUUUAGUCAAUACUUGGUUUAAUUUUAUCUUGAAUGAUCUAAACUACUUUUUAAAUGAAACAUAUGUAAUAAUUAGUAUGUAUAUCAUGAUAUUGAUUUAGAAAAAAAAAUGUAGUAAUAAUAUUUCUGAAUUUUCUAAUGUUAAAAAAGUUAAAGUACUAUCUAUGUUUUUCUUUGUAUGAUAGGGGCCUUAAAUCAAUUAAAGAUCUUGGUUAUUUCUCAAUGAUAAACAAUAUGUUUUUUCACAUGAAUUUUAUGUUAAUUAGCUUUUUGGAGGUUUAAGUUGAAACUAUUUUUCAUAAAACUUAUAUUUUGUCUAAAUUUUAGGGUAUUUGACAUUGAUAAUUGAAUCAAGUGACCUUUUGACCUUCAUUUUGAUGACUGUUUUAGGGUAUUCAAUCACACAAUAGAUUAGUUUAUUAUUUGUCUGAUUAUAAUUUCUUGUUGAACAAACUUAAAUAGCAUAUGCAGAAAACUGUGGUAGUACAUCGUAGGUGGAAGCUUUAAGAUAUAGCUUUAAGAUAUGUUCUUUUCUUGUUCAUAUGUUCCUCAAUAUUUUUUCUUUUAAUUUAUUGUAUUUUUAAUUUUUGUAUUCUAAUACCAAAAGAAUAGAGGCUUUUACUAGAGCUCAACCUCCAAGGAUGCCUAUGCACUUCUCCAGGAGGAAGUAUAACGAGUUGCAUCAAAGGAAUACUUUAUGUCUUAAGAUUCGAACAUAUGAUGUUUAUUAUGUAAACAAAACUGAUAAUCCUCAAGUAAUAUCAUUUUAAUGAGGCUAAAUGCAUUCUUCUAUUUCGACAUUAGCAUAUGAUGAUUAUAAUACCUUUUUCAAUCAGAUUUUGAGCCAACCUUUGGAAAAUCGAAUGUUUGCCCUUCGCUCUAGUUUUUGGUACUUAUAUGGUCAUUAUAGUGCUACUCUCCGAGUUCCAAUUGAAAGUUGAAGUCGCAAGGGAAGUGUUCAAAGUAACGAGAUUCUAUAAGCCAUGAAAUUAAGAGUGAGGAUCACCUCAUAGAAUCCACACCUAAUUAGCACUCUCGUGGAUGAGUGUGCAAAAAAACAAACAUGCACGAAAUUUGUCUAGAAAAAUUAGCAUCCCUAUAGCACUAGUGUAGAGUAAGAUAUAGAAAUUGGCAUCCUUUCCGAAGAUGUAUAGACUGCUUUGCCGAUUUCCAAUAUUUUUAGUUGUUGGGUAUAUUCAAAGCUCUAAAAAUUUAUCACCUCACCUAGUAUUGUUGAGCUUGUGACUAGGGAUAUAAGUACCUAUAUUGCAACUAAAAAACUUAACUCUUCUAUUUUAGAGGCCCUUUUUUUCCAUUCUCUAUUCAAGGGUUUAGAUUUCUUCAUUCAUUCUUUUUGUUUUAGCUUGAAUUAGUUUAGAAUUUAGCUUGAAUUUAGAUUUGUAUAUAUUCCAUCGUUCUUGCACAUUAUUUUUGUGUGUUUCUUUACAUUUCCUCUAUGCAUUUUGGCACUUCAAUAUUUUUGUUUAUGGAUAUAUUAAUGUUUAUCAAGUUUGAUUAGUUUUGUUGUACUAGGAAGAUGGCUCUUUGAUGGGUGAACUGUCAUGGUUGUUUUACACCAAACUAAUUUAGGUUUUGAUAAACAUCGAGAAAUUUCUUUCACUACAUGAUUUUGAGGAAGUUUAGAGGCAUUAUCUAUUAGUGUGCAAAAGUCACCUAAAUUAUGGUGAUGUCAAAUGCUAUAAAAGAUUAAUUUGACAUACUCUUAGAUAAAAUGGUCAAACCCAAUCCAAGAUUUUCAUAUUUUUCAUGCUUCAUAAUGACCUAAUUUUGUGCUAACUUGAUAUCCUCAACUUAUUUGAUGCUUUGUAGUGCUAGAUAAUCCUUUUGUAAGUGUUUCGAGAGAAUAAAAAAGAAUAUUGUACAUUACCUAGGAAAAUAGCAUAGAAGGGUUGCAAUGCAAAUUUGCUUUCCAUGAGAGAAGACCAUCUGAGCAGUAGUGUGAUGAACCAAGAAUUCAACUAAAAUAAUCAAUCAUAUGAUGGAAAAUUCUUAUGAAUUUUUCUAAAAAAACUAAGCAAUCAAAAGAGUUGAAUUCAAAAUAUUCAAACUAUCAACUUCUAUCACUUCUAACUCUUUUAAUUUUUCUAUCAAAUCGGUUUUCUACUUUGAGAAAAUAUUUAAUAUUUUUCAAUAAGUAAAUGUGAGUAUAAUUUGUAAAAUCAUUGAUAAAAGGGAUGAAAUAUUUGUUUCCUCCAUAAGUUAAAAUCACAUAAAUUUGUAUGUAUCAACCUAACAAUUUUAUUGUCUUCUUAACACUUUUAAGAUGCCUUUUUUUUUUUGGUGAUUUUGGUCAUAGAAAAUGUCUCAUAUUUUUUGAAGUCCUUUUUUGACAUUAAGAAUUAAUUCCAAACUAUUCAUGUUUCUCUUAAAUUUUCUACUUAUAUCAGGAAAUACGGGUAUGACAAACAUUUAAAGAAAAACACAUACAAACAAAACUAGAAGAUGUUUUAUUUUCGAUAUUCAAUUUAAACAUUUCAUCGUAAGCAUUACCAUUGCCUACAAAAAUCUCCCUGGUUAGAUUUCAUUGUUUGCUUAAACUUGGUUGAUUAAGUUAAUAUAAGAUUCUUGAUUAUGGAAUGAGUACAAACAUAAUGUUUAAAGGUCACAUCCUUCUAGAGGUGAAUUUUAACUUAACCUUACAGCUUCCAAAUAUUUGAGUAGUGUGUGAAUCAUUGAUCAUGAUUGUCUUAGGCUCCUUAAAAGAAGUGUAUACCUUGAACUAACCUAUCAAAUGGUAGACAUACCUAUUAGUACCAGAUUCUACCCUUAAAUCCUUCAACACUUUGAAACAUUUUAGUAAUCAUAGUCAUAAAUGACUCCUUAGUUGUUGAAAAGAUAGAAAGAAAUCCUUGAUAAGAAAGGGUUCAUCCUUGAUAAUCAUUAUGGACAAGUGUGAAUAAAGUUUCUAAGGACAUUUCCUUAUGUUUAUGGCACACAUUUUCCUCAAAUUCCUUCCAUAAUGGUGGUAAUUUGUAAAUGAUACAAAGAAAAUAAGGCUGCCACCAAUUUUGAUUAUUCCUUUAGAAAUGGAUUCAGAAAAUAAGAGUACUACUAUUCAGAAGUCUUGAACUUUAGUUUACAAUGGAUUUCCCUCCAAACAUCUAAUUAUGGAAAAGUUGACUAAUACUUAUUUACUUAUUUGCACUUGCUUUAAUGAUGUUGUUUCCACUUGCAAGGCUUUCCAAUUUUUUUCAAAGGAAAAUAGGUAGUGUCAUAAUAAUCAUAAAAAUGUUCAUCAAAACACAAUCCAAGAGAUAAUAUCAACAAUCACAUUCAUCUUUUUCAUAUCUCUCAAUCUCUAUUUCUUGCUCAUAGAGCUCAUCUUUAUUCCUAGAAUUAGUAGGGAUUACUUUUUGUGUUGUUCUUAGUAAGUGACUGAGAAGAUUGAGAUAGAACUUUUCUUUCUCACUUCACGUACUCCUUUGAAACAAAAAGGCCUUUUGAGAUCUCCAAUAUUCACAUAGAUUUUUGUAUUAAUGGGUUCCAAUUUUCUUACUUUCCUUAAAAUUGUUGCUAUAGGACUUUCAAAUAAUAAUAAAAAUACAAUAACAUUAAUUGAGUAGUAUACAGGAACAAUUUGGUUAAGAGAACAAAAAUCGUGAUUUCUCUAAAGAGAUUCAAAAUCUCAAUGAUUUGAUAAUUAAUGUUAGAAAUGCAUUACUAAAUUUUCUUAUCUUUUCUAAGAUAUAACAACCCAAUCUAAUCGGUGUAUAGCUGAGACUUAUUUACAUAUAUGGCAAAUCUUAAAGCUCCAUAAAAGCAAAAUCCUUCUUUGGCCAAGAAAAUAUUAAGAAGAAAAAAGAACAAAAAUGAAAUGCUUAUGAUACUUUUAUGAAAUGUUGAAGACUAGUUAUAAGUAAAUUAUGCCAAUCAAACUAUAAGAGAAAUGAUAAAAUUUCCUGUGGGGUGAAUCAAAAGUCUAUGUAAAGUAUUGAAACCUCUCAGUAACUCAUCAUGACAUUCAAUCUUUCUUAUUUUAGUUUUUACACAAGCAAGGAAUCAAAUUUUAAUUUUAGUUGAAGUCUAGUUCAAAUCUUAAUUGAUUAUUUUUAAGUUUAAUCUACAUAAAACAUUCCAAAUAUUCUUAUUUAAUUUUAUUUCUUAGCUACAUUUUAGCCUUAAAUUCUGAUGGUCCAUCAUAACCCAGAACUAUUCACUAAUUAAGAGUUAGGUCUUCUAGUGAGAGCCAUAGUUGCAAUUUUCAUGCUCACUCCUUGCUCUAAGUUGCUCUUUCCCAAAGAACCCACCCCCAGAAAAAUAUCGCUUGUUGGCUGUAGUUUCAACCUAAAACAAAGAAGGGAUAUUGAAAGAAAAUUGAAAAGUAACACCUAGAAACAAGGGAGUAAAAUAGUUCACCAAAAAAUAUUGGGUUUUAGAGGUUAUUGAGAUGGAGGUGUGUGCUUUUUCCGUUUCUUGCCAAUUUAUGAGCUAUGAGGAUAAUUUUGUAUUAAUUUUUACUAAGGAGGAUGGGCCUUUUCUUAGGGGGUAGAGAGAGGACUUUUGGGAAGAAUUGACUGACAUUAGAGGGUUUUGGACUGAUCCUUGGUGUGUCCAUGAAGGUGUCAAUAUGCUAAGAUUUUGAGGGAAAAAGAGGAAUUGUCCCAAGUGUUCAUCUACCAUGAGGUGUUUCUUGGACAUAACUAAGGAGAUUAAUUUGCAUGAUCUAACUCUAAUUAGAGGACCCUGUGCUUGGUGAGGAGGUAUAAAUAAUCAUUUUGCUUCAAGAUUAGAUUGGUUCCUUGCUUUGAAAGAUUAGAAUAGUCAUUUUGGUGAUAUUUUACUGAGCAUUCUAGUUGGAUCAAUGUUUGAUCUUGCCCCAAUUUUGUUAGAUGGAGAUGGGAAAAGGGGGAACAAAACUCAUUUUAGGUUUGAAAAUAUGUGCCUUAGAGCAAAAGCUUCAGAGAGUAAAUUAAUUUUGUUGUAGAACUCUUAGUAAUUGAAAAUAUGUUCGAAAAUAUGAAUUUCGAACUAUAAUCUCAUAUUUGAAUAUAAAUAAUUAGUUAUAACUAUUUAAUGGGGAAUCUAAAUGUUAUUCAAUAUCCCCUAUUUUCUAUUUAAUUCAUAUAUUUCUUUCUCUCUAUUUCUAGAAGUAUUCACUUAUAUAUAUUUUUUCUGAAAUUGUAAUUGAUUUUAGUUUUUUGUGCAUGUAGGCCAGCUUUUUGUGAAAUUAACCUUGUAGUUGGAUAAGCUAGCAUGAAGGAGUAUGUUAAAGACCAAAGCACAAUUGGGUUGCAUGUAAAGAAAUGGGUUGCAUGUAAAGAAAAAAUGAACUAUGUUAAGGAACUAAACAUUAAAGUUAUGAUUUUUUUUUUAAAUAUAUUUUAGCUUUUUUGUGUUUCUUAUUUAUGAAAUACAAGUUCUCUAUUUGUGAUUAAAUACUGCAAUUUGGAAAUGUAUUACCAGGUGAAAAAUUAGGUGCAACAACUAAUUUCAUUGGUACAUAAUUUUUUUUCUUAUGUGUAUGCAUUAUUUCAAUAGAAGGUGAAAAAUUAGGUGCAACAAUUAUUAAAUUAAAAUUAAAAAAUUUUCUUCCUUGAUGCUUUUACUAAGUGUCAAGGAAUGAGAGUAACCACCAGUAACAUUUAUACAAUCCAAUAAUGGCACUAAUAAAUAUGUCAAUGUAGUGUGAACAACUAACAAUGACACUUUUUAAGUGUCAAGGUUCUCUUUAGUGGUGCUUUCUAAAAGUGUCCUUAUAGUUCGAUAUUUGAAACUGCUAAACAAUGGCACUUAUAGAAAGUGUCAAGGUUUCUUCUACUCAACAAUGGCGCUUAUAAAAGUGUCAAUGUAGUUUGAUAUAACCAAUUAUGACACUUUUUUAAAGCGUCCAGGUUCUCUUUAAUGACACUUUCUAGAAGCGUCAUUAUAGGCAAAUACUUAUUAUAACAGGCUAGUAGAUGACGCUUUGGGGAAGCGCCAUUGAAUAUAUUUCUUGACACUUAAAAAACGUCAUGGUUAACAUUUUGUCUUAUAGUGAAUUAAAUGUAGUAAUAAAGAGGAUGUGUGGAAAGGUGGGUUUCAUGCACAAAUUUAAAAAAAAAAUACAUAAAAUGAAAACCUUUAAAAAUAAUUCAAAUUUUAUGUAUUUUCAAGUCAAAAAUACUUAUGAUGAUCAAAAUUAAUCAGUACCCACUUUGUUUCUAGAUGGUCAAAUAAUUAAUUAACGUUACAAAUAAGAUAAUACUUUUGAUCAAAAGGUGUACAAAAUCCUAAUUAUCUUUGGGUAAUUAGUGUAUUAAAUUUAAAUUUUACAAAUUCUUUGUAUAAAAACAAACUUUUUCCCUUUAUCUGAAUCUAUUCUAUAUUCCAACAUUUCAAACAUGGGGAAUCAUAAUAUUGUGAGUUAUAUAUGAACGUAUUAUUGGUCUUCAGUUUCGGUUCUGAAUUUUAUAGUGACAACUACGUGGGAACACAUAAGCCUGAUCAAAACAAGGAUAAUAUUUAAAGGAAACUCCAACAUCUAAUAGUAAUAACGACAUGGAGUAUACAAGGUGCUUCCUUCCACAUCAUCUGGAUGCAACGAGACAAUAAAAUCUUAUUACAUCACACGGAAAAACAGGAAGGGGAAAACAAAGAAAACAAAACAAAUAAACACACGCAUGGAAUUAUUUCAGUAACAGGCAACAUGCAUACAUCAUAUGCAAAACAGAAGUAGAGGCUUAGUAGAGUGCGCUUAUGGCGUUCUCGUCAUGGCAGCACCCAAAAGUGAUGUACUUCUCCAUGAUGCGGAGGCACUCUGGGCACUUGAUGUUCUCCGGAAUCCUUCCAACUUCGCUAGGGAACUCAAAACGGCAGCAGGGCCGAGAAUCGCUAUGAAGCUUACUAUGGAAAUCCAUGUAAGCUAUGUCGAAGCCCUUUGGGGGCACGUCGUCUUUCCAUGCAUUGUACUCGGUAAAGGUGAGCAAAACAGUGCUGCUGUGGCCAUUGACGAAUACAAAAGAUCCAUUGCUGAGUACAGCCCAUCCUCCUUCCUUGUCGUAGCUGAUCAGUUUCUUGAUUUCCCGCAGCAUAGGGUCGACAUCGACAGUACUACCUAGCUGGAUCUUGGAGAAC
This 11807-nucleotide long non-coding RNA is filed under the name Vitis vinifera (wine grape). Its description in RNAcentral is "long non-coding RNA (VVIN_LNC004835)". Lineage: Eukaryota; Viridiplantae; Streptophyta; Magnoliopsida; Vitales; Vitaceae. The record is from RNAcentral.